UCAUUAUUUUCUUAAUGGAGCCUUCUUAAAGUUACCAUAUAAUACCGCUAAACAAUUUGGUUUCUUCCAAGUAUGACGUAAGUUUUCCUACUCGUUCGUAGUCGUCGAAACAUUCUUCGACGGUAUUACACAUUUUUCACAUUAUCUCCGAUAUCGUCGCACCGCUGGACAUUCUAAAUAUAUAUUUUCGUCCGGUUUUGUUUCUAUCCGGUAAAAUAAAAUAAAGGCAGAGACACAGGCACACAUCGAAGUAGGAAAUUUGUUAUCGGCCGGGUCCCACACGUAGCGCACACACAGAUGUGUGACGAAACGUUUCGAGCACGCUCGAAUCGUUGAUGGGCUGAUCGGUAACGAGGGACGCGAGCUAACUGGCUAACCAGCACGUAGGAGAAAGACGGGCGGGCGGGCGAACGGCGUCGCCGACGCGGCCUGCUUUUCGGCCCAGAGUUUUUCCCCGUGGAACGUAGCCUCUCCUAACGCCGCGAGCACCGGAGCUAUUGAUGAAAGGUGAGGGGGAAUCGAUCCGCUAUACCCGUGUACUGGGUGUCCCGUUUUCGGCCCCGCGAGCAAUUCGCGGAAUCCCCGACGUUUCGGGAAUCACCGGGUAUCCGUGGCCGCCGCCGUAUUUCCCGAUCGUACUCGGUGCUCCGACAAUUACGCGGCUAUUUCGUUAUUACGCGCGACAACGCGUCAAAGACAUUUCAAGGACAUUCCAGGCGACAAUGGAAAGAAAAAUUCCCUAGUGAUUCGCGUUUUCUGCGGUGUGUUUCGGCUCUUCGGGAUUGACAAAUCGCGUUCGCGAAUGCGUUUACAGAGGCGAAGCGAGGCGACGGAUGUUAUUAAGGUUAUGCCGAGGUUAUGUUUGAUGUGCAGCGCGCGAGUGUCACUUAAAGUCGCGUAACCAGGAAUUCCGCAGAUUUGCCGCUUGUAAAAUUGUGCGAUAAUUGUAGAAGAAGGAGUAAUUUAAGUAUAUUAAAACAACAGCUUGAAGGAUAGUGCUUAGAGAAAAUAGGGCUUUUGAAUCAUUUUUAAUUUUACGAGAGGUUGAUUAUUGUACAACUGUCGUACAGUUCUUUGAUGGAACGUGCGUGGAAUGAAUUGGUGCACGAUUUUAAGUGACAGUCACAGUAUCUGAACGUUUUUGGGGUUAGAGAAACGAUUCGAGGGCCAGUAGAAAGGACAGAGAGGCUGAAAUCUCUUCUCAAUACCGAGAUAAACACAGAUUUGUAUCUAUUUACUGGAAAGUAAGCACAAGUUCUUGUGCACUGUUGUGUAGCUAUUUUGGGAAUCGAAGUUCUAAAGCUUUCAAUAUAUUCUGAGAUCGUUGAGUUAAUGACAUAACCUAUUUGACAUAAAAAUAAAAUAAAGAUAAUCAGAAGAUCGUGAACGGAAUAAAUAAACAAACCCAAUAACUGCAGUAUUGAAUAUAAAAGACAUUAAAAAUUCCAAAGUAAAAGUAAAAAAACCGAGUAAAAUCUCUAAUAUUUUCUUCUACAAUUCCUGAUGUCAGAGAAAUACUUCUAUAAGAAAUUAUUAGAAACAUUCAUUGAAGACGUA
Molecule: long non-coding RNA, 1557 nt
Organism: Megalopta genalis
Lineage: Eukaryota; Metazoa; Arthropoda; Insecta; Hymenoptera; Halictidae
Source: RefSeq, a predicted model, not a curated record